ACCUGUGUGAUGAUGGAGCUGGGAGUCCUCUUUUCAGCUGUAUUUUGCUUCCUUCCCACACAGAC
RNAcentral lists this microRNA precursor (65 nucleotides) under Pongo abelii (Sumatran orangutan). RNAcentral's name for it is "miRNA". Lineage: Eukaryota; Metazoa; Chordata; Mammalia; Primates; Hominidae. The record is from RNAcentral.